GUCGAAGGUGGGGCUGAUGACUGGGGUGAAGUCGUAACAAGGUAUCCGUACCGGAAGGUGCGGAUGGAUCACCUCCUAACAGGGAGACAACACAAUGAUUUUGAUGCCUGAGUGCUCUUAUUCUUAGGCCGAAAUCCUGUCACCUUAGGUCGAUCGGUACCUCAGCUUUGAAGUCAAGGAUCAGCAGCAAUGUUGAUUGCUUGAUGGAGAUUUUCAGUUCCUAAACUUUGUCUAGGUCACACCCCAAAAGGGAUGAGACUCCUGGGCCAUUAGCUCAGGUGGUUAGAGCGCACCCCUGAUAAGGGUGAGGUCCCUGGUUCAAGUCCAGGAUGGCCCAUUCGGUGUUGGGGGUUUAGCUCAGUUGGUAGAGCGCCUGCUUUGCAAGCAGGAUGUCAGGAGUUCGAGUCUCCUAACCUCCACUGACCGAACUUGAUUCCCAUCUCCAAUUCUUUUGGAGUUGAGCUCGAUUGGAGUGUGAUUUAGAUGUGUCCGCUGGAUGACCCCAGCUUCCUGUCAUUCCAAGUUUUAGGUUGAUGCCUUGAAUUUGGUUGAUAAGAUGCUGGGCUCGGAUCAAAUGAUCAAGCAAUUGAUGAUUUGAUUUGAAGUUCUAGCAGAACCUUGACAACUGCAUAGGUGAGUCUGGAAAAAACAAAGCAUCUUACAGAUGCAUUGUUUUGAAUCUGAUCUUCUGAAAGGGAGAUUGGAUCUAGAACAAUGAAAAUUCUUUUGAGCAAGAGCCGAGACUCUUGAGCGUUCUUUGAUUGGUGUCGAGCCAAUCAGAGUUUGAUCCUGUUUUUAGCAAUAAAAACUUGAGAAUCUGCUUUCAACGGCGGUAAGCGUUCAGGAGGUUAAUUGGUCAAGCUACAAAGGGCUCACGGCG
RNAcentral lists this unclassified non-coding RNA (880 nucleotides) under uncultured Synechococcus sp. RNAcentral's name for it is "partial may contain 16S ribosomal RNA, 16S-23S ribosomal RNA intergenic spacer, and 23S ribosomal RNA". The stretch from base 347 to 419 matches the Rfam family "tRNA". Lineage: Bacteria; Bacillati; Cyanobacteriota; Cyanophyceae; Synechococcales; Synechococcaceae. The record is from RNAcentral.